CAAAAUAAAGUGAUCUUGUUCAUUCUUUUACAAAAACACCAAAAUAUAUUUUCUUCCUUCAAUCUGCUUCCUUGAAAGAACUAUGGUUAGUCAAUUCUUCCUUCAUGAAGGUUUAUAAUUUCGUCUUGUUUUCUACGAUAGUAUUUUUGUUCCCUUGGAGACAACUUUCCCAAGUCCACAAGCAUGAUCCCUUUUUCCACUUUCCAUUGUUUCACUCGAAGCAUUUCUUGCUUGAAACGAACUUUCCCUAUUUCAUUCUUGCUUGAUAUGAUCUUUUUCUUUCGUAUGUUGAAGUUGCUCUUGCUCCUUCAAUUGCUUCAUACGAAGCUUUUCUUUGUCAUGUUCUAGUCGCUCUUGCUCUUGAACACAUGCCUUCUCAAACUGUUCGAUUGUCCAUUCCUCCGAUUCUUUCCCAUCUUUCUUUAGCUCGUGUAGAGCCUCCCAAAGAGCUGAAUUGUCGCUUUCAUCCCUCUUUUGUUUUUUCACCCA
RNAcentral lists this long non-coding RNA (489 nucleotides) under Actinidia chinensis (golden kiwifruit). RNAcentral's name for it is "long non-coding RNA (ACHI_LNC000817)". Lineage: Eukaryota; Viridiplantae; Streptophyta; Magnoliopsida; Ericales; Actinidiaceae. The record is from RNAcentral.